GACAGAGGGGGCGAGCGUUGUCCGGAGUCACUGGGCGUAAAGCGCGCGCAGGCGGUCGCAAAAGUGUCGUGUGAAAGCCCCCGGCUCAACCGGGGGAGGCCAUGGCAAACUCGGCGACUAGAGCGGCGGAGAGGCCCCUCGAAUUGCCGGUGUUGCGGUGAAAUGCGUAGAGAUCGGCAGGAAGACCAAGGGGGAAGCCAGGGGGCUGGCCGCUGGCUGACGCUGAGGCGCGUCAGCGUGGGGAGCGAACCGG
This 253-nucleotide ribosomal RNA is filed under the name uncultured bacterium. Its description in RNAcentral is "partial 16S ribosomal RNA". It matches the Rfam family "Bacterial small subunit ribosomal RNA", at positions 524 to 776 of the family's 1533-position model. The record is from RNAcentral.